Molecule: small RNA, 122 nt
Filed under: Gopherus agassizii (Agassiz's desert tortoise)
Lineage: Eukaryota; Metazoa; Chordata; Testudines; Testudinidae
Description: TUC338 (ENSGAGG00000004747.1)
Source: RNAcentral
UCCUCUGUCUAUCCACAGAACACACACAGUUCAGGCAGCUUCAGCUACAGCUUCCCAGGGCUAUCCCCAGCCAAAGUGCCUCACCCCUGACCUGAAGGGCUACCUCUAGAGAUCAGGGGUAA